CUGCGUCUCAAGAGUUUAAUUACAAACUGUACUUCACGUGUAUACUGAGUAAGUGAAAGAGUGACUUUUGAUAAAGAUGCAUAUGCUGCUGCAAUUAUGUCUGGUAUAUGCGCUGAUUGUGGAAUGUUCUGCACAAAAACCGGGCGCAUGCCCACCUGGCGGCAUAAGAAUUACUGUGUGCAUGUCCGAUUGCGAGACCGAUCGUGAUUGCCCCGGUGCACAGAAAUGCUGCAAAUAUAGCAGCUGCAUGUUCACCUGUGAGAAACCAAUCUUUGGCAAGUAUCGUCCAACAGGACGUCCGUGACACCACCUGUUUAGCGCUGCCUGAUACGCGGAUCUGGAUCUCUUGAGUUCAAUUAAAACAAUGGUAUCAAACAAAACGUGUUAAGAGUUUGCGUUUAACAUGUCUCACAUAAUUAUUAUACAAUUAAAGGACGAACAUUU
Molecule: long non-coding RNA, 444 nt
Organism: Dreissena polymorpha
Lineage: Eukaryota; Metazoa; Mollusca; Bivalvia; Myida; Dreissenidae
Exons: 4
Source: RefSeq, a predicted model, not a curated record